Molecule: long non-coding RNA, 1510 nt
Filed under: Macaca fascicularis (crab-eating macaque)
Lineage: Eukaryota; Metazoa; Chordata; Mammalia; Primates; Cercopithecidae
Description: lncRNA (ENSMFAG00000051625.1)
Source: RNAcentral
GGCAGGGGCUGGGCCUGUAGCUGCUCUACCCUUCUCAGGAUCCUCCUUCAGCUUUCCCGACUUCUGAGCCAGACAGGUCUGCUGAGCUCUGUGAUGAAGGAUCCUGACUCCUGCAGGAGACCCAUGCCACCCAAAUCAGAGGCACGGUUUCAGUCCCUCCUCAUGGUCUCCAGCGGGUGGUUUCCAGCUUGUUCUUGUUCACCGCAUCUCUCUGACCCAGCUGCCUGCCCUGCGGACUGCAAGUUCAGCAUCAGACCCGAGGGCAAGAGCCUUACAGAGACUGCGUCAGCAGCUCCCACGGAUGGGUAAGAUCAAAUCCUGGUAAGAAGUCCCUAGUGCUGAUUCCUGUUACGCUGCUUCCUGGAAGGCAGUGCCAUGUGGAACCUCUAAACUACAGCAUUCGGAGCUCCAGGAAGGGAAAAUUUCAAGUCAAAUAGAAUUCUAUACACCAUGUCUUUGGAACCUUCAGCCCUCAAGAUUCCAACAUCAUGACCUCAGUUUCAACACAGUUGUCCUUAGUUCUCAUGUCAUGCCUUUGAUGCUGCCUGUUGUCGAAGCAGUAGAAGCCAACGAUGCAAUCACUCUCUUGAUAGGUGUGGUUCUCAGCAUUACAGGCAUCUAUGCUUGCUUGAAGGUAUAUGCAGAAAAGAGAUAUGGACAGAUGUGACUUUGAAGGGCUUACUGAAUCAAACCUCACCCUGAAAACCUUUGUGCUAUUGAGGCUAAACCUGAGCUUUGGUGUCUGACAGUUUCCAAGAAUCAGUAAAUAAGGGAGUUUUACAUUCUUCAUUGUUUCCAUGAAAUGGGAACAAACAGAUACAUAUAUAAAAAUUUAAAAAAAAGUUUUCUUUACAACAAAUAAUGUGCAGAAAAAAUGCAGCCUAUAAUUUGUAUUUGCUGUUUAGAAAGGAAGCCAAAGAAGUAAGAUGGCUGAAAUUGACACAAGUAAUAUUUCAUAGUUUUAGACUUCUCAAAGCAUGUGAAAUAGGAAGAAGGAAGUUCUUGCCCAGAAUCUUAGGAAACCAUCACUGUUCAGUUAUAAUCGCUGCCUCCUGAUUUGUUGAGGAGUCUUUUCUCCAUAUUUUUAUUAGAUUUUUGUUUUGUUGUCUUUCGAGGUAAUAUUGUAUUUAGAUAUCAGAUAGUCAGCCAAAAAGGGAAACUUCUAUCUCUGGGGAAAAAAAUGUUUAGAAAAAUGUAUUUAAGGGCUAUGCACGGUGGCUCACGCCUGUAAUCCCAGCACUUUGGGAAGCUGAGGCGGGCAGAUCACGAGGUCACGAGAUUGAGAUCAUCCUGGUUAACACGAUGAAACCCCGUCUCUACUAAAAACACACACACACAAAAACAUUAGCCGAGCGUGGUGGCAGGCGCCUGUAGUACCAGCUACACAGAAGGCUGAGGGAGGAGAAUGGCUUGAACCUGGGAGGCGGAGGUUGCAGUGAGCCGGGAUCGUGCCACUGCACUCCAGCCUGGGUAACAGAGCGAGACUCCGUCCCAAAAAAAAAAAGAAAAA